AGAAGAAGUUGGAUUUAUACCCCGCCCUUCACUACCUGAAGGAGUCUCAGAGCUGCUUACAAUCUCCUUUCUCUUCCCCUCCCCACAACAGACACCCUGUGAGGUAGGUGGGGCUGAGAGAGCUCUGACAGAAACUGUUCUUGAGAGAACAGCUCUGAGAGAACUUGUGACUGACCCAAGGCCAUUCCAGCAGCUGCAGGUGGAGGAGUGGGGAAUCAAACCCAGUUCUCCCAGAUUAGGGUCCACACACUUAACCACUACACCAAACUGGCUCU
Long non-coding RNA from Heteronotia binoei (common prickly gecko), 275 nucleotides. RefSeq lists it as uncharacterized. The transcript is spliced from 2 exons. Lineage: Eukaryota; Metazoa; Chordata; Lepidosauria; Squamata; Gekkonidae. The record is from RefSeq and is a predicted model, not a curated record.